GUUAGGAAUAUUGGACAAUGAGCGCAAGCCUGAUCCAGCCAUGCCGCGUGAGUGAUGAAGGCCUUCGGGUUGUAAAGCUCUUUAGUCCACGAAUAUAAUGACUGUAGUGGAAGAAUAAGCCCCGGCUAACUUCGUGCCAGCAGCCGCGGUAAUACGAAGGGGGCGAGCGUUAUUCGGAAUCACUGGGCGUAAAGCGUGCGUAGGCUGUUUUGUAAGUCAGAAGUGAAAGCCCAGGGCUUAACCCUGGAAUUGCUUUUGAAACUACAAGACUCGAAUUCGGGAGAGGAUAGCGGAAUUGUCAGUGUAGCAGUGAAAUGCGUAGAUAUUGACAGGAACACCAGUGGCGCAAGCGGCUAUCUGGACCGAUAUUGACGCUGAGGCACGAAAGCGUGGGGAGCAAACAGGAUUAGAUACCCGAGUAGUCC
RNAcentral lists this ribosomal RNA (425 nucleotides) under uncultured bacterium. Its description in RNAcentral is "partial 16S ribosomal RNA". It matches the Rfam family "Bacterial small subunit ribosomal RNA", at positions 354 to 796 of the family's 1533-position model. The record is from RNAcentral.